CAGAAAAGGAAGAAGCAGGAGACCGGGCUGAGUGAUCUAACAAGGAGCCAGCAAUCAUUAAAGAUCUACACAUUGCUAUACAAUGGGUUGUCAAGAAUGAGGCACUGUUCUAUGGGUGCAUAACCAUGCCAAGUUUUGUGUCAAUGAAUGAAGAGGACCACCAGAAGGCCAUAGAUAACGUGAUGCAAAAAGAAGAACCAGAAGCAAGGGAGCCAUUCCUCUUUGUAUUUCAGCACAGAGAAGAUAUGGAGUUGUUUUUGCAGGCAUGUCUUAACCAACAGGGCCUCCAAGUUAAUGCCAUGUUCAACAAAUGACUGAUAGACAAGGGGUGGUGGUGUGUUUCUGUUUAAAUUAUUGAUAAUAAUAAAAAAAUAAGAUAAUUAACACCA
Molecule: long non-coding RNA, 389 nt
Organism: Bombina bombina (fire-bellied toad)
Lineage: Eukaryota; Metazoa; Chordata; Amphibia; Anura; Bombinatoridae
Exons: 2
Source: RefSeq, a predicted model, not a curated record